GUCUUUUUGGUUAUUUAAUAUAAAGUCUGACCUGCCCACUGAAUUUAUUUUGAAGGGCCGCAGUAUUUUGACUGUGCAAAGGUAGCAUAAUCAUUAGUCUUUUAAUUGAAGGCUGGUAUGAAUGGUUGGAUGAGGUACAAGCUGUGUCAUAAAAAUUAAUAGUUGAAUUUACCUUUUUAGUCAAAAGGCUAAAAUGAAAUUAAAAGACGAGAAGACCCUAUAGAGCUUUAUAUAAUUUAUAUUUAAAUUAUUAAGAUUUUUUAAAUUUAAUUAUUAUUUUGUAUUUUGUUGGGGUGACAAUAAAAUUUAUAAAACUUUUAUUUUUAAUUUACAUUUAUUUAUGGUUACAUGAUCCAGUUUUAUUGAUUAUAAAUUUAAGUUACCUUAGGGAUAACAGCGUAAUUUUUUUUGAGAGUUCUUAUCGACAAAAAAGAUUGCGACCUCGAUGUUGGAUUAAGAGUAAUUUUGGGUGUAGAAGUUCAAAGUUUAAGUCUGUUCGACUUUUAAAUUCUUACAU
Molecule: ribosomal RNA, 517 nt
Filed under: Simulium tani
Lineage: Eukaryota; Metazoa; Arthropoda; Insecta; Diptera; Simuliidae
Description: partial 16S ribosomal RNA
Rfam family: Bacterial large subunit ribosomal RNA
Source: RNAcentral